RNAcentral lists this ribosomal RNA (255 nucleotides) under uncultured bacterium. RNAcentral describes it as "partial 16S ribosomal RNA". It matches the Rfam family "Bacterial small subunit ribosomal RNA", at positions 524 to 776 of the family's 1533-position model. The record is from RNAcentral.
UACGUGGGGUGCGAGCGUUGUCCGGAAUUAUUGGGCGUAAAGAGCUCGUAGGCGGUGUGUCACGUCGUUCGUGAAAAACCUGCAGCUUAACUGUGGGCGUGCGGUCGAUACGGGCAUCACUGGAGUUCGGCAGGGGAGACUGGAAUUCCUGGUGUAGCGGUGAAAUGCGCAGAUAUCAGGAGGAACACCGGUGGCGAAGGCGGGUCUCUGGGCCGAUACUGACGCUGAGGCACGAAAGCGUGGGGAGCAAACAGG